CCUACGGGAGGCAGCAGUGGGGAAUUUUGCGCAAUGCUCGUAAGAGUGACGCAGCGACGCCGCGUGAAUGACGACUGCCUUCGGGUCGUAAAGUUCUUUCGACAGGGAAGAAAAUGCCUAUCAGUAACUGUGUAUGUAUUGACGGUACAUGUAUAAGCAGCUCAGGCUAACUCCGUGCCAGCAGCCGCGGUCAUGCGGAGGGGGCGAGCGUUGUUCGGGGUGACUGGGCGUAAAGGGCUCGUAGGUGGUGUUGUUAGUCAUUAGGCAAAGACUAGAGCUCAACUUUAGUAAGGCUAGUGAUACUAUAAUACGAGAGUAUCAGAGAGGAUUGCAGAAUGCCUGGUGUAGCGGUGAAAUGCGUAGAUAUCAGGAGGAAUACCGAUAGCGAAGGCGGCAAACUGGCUGGAAACUGACGCUGAGGUGCGAAAGCGUGGGUAUCAAACAGGAUUAGAUACCCCAGUAGUC
This 465-nucleotide ribosomal RNA is filed under the name uncultured bacterium. RNAcentral describes it as "partial 16S ribosomal RNA". It matches the Rfam family "Bacterial small subunit ribosomal RNA", at positions 338 to 795 of the family's 1533-position model. The record is from RNAcentral.